AACCUACUCCCAUUACAGAUGCUUAACGUGUUAAAAUAGUCUCACUCUGAUGCUUCCUAGUUUCAUAGAUGACUUGAUUUUACAUCAAUAAUACUCAAAGUGCUUAUUCUAAACACAUACAGGCAGUGCAGAUGGAGGCAAUUGUUUCUGCAGCAACAAGGGCCACGUGAAAGUGAUAGGGAAACCUCUACUCCAUCACCGCGUCCGCUCCUCAGCUCACUCUUGCUGUAGGCCUGAGUUUACUGCUUCAUGGUUUUGAGAGAUUGAAAAAUCCAACAAUCUACCUUUGAAUAUGGACCACAGAAAAGAUAUUUAAAAGUCCAGUUCCCUUCCUAAGAUUGUCUGUGGAAUGACUUCAGAAGAGGAUCCAUCACACUGAAGGUGCAGAUCCUGACUCUAGAGAUCAGAGCUGCCUGACUGAGAGGUUGAUGGCUAUGGACACUCCAGGACAAGGCCCAUACCCUGACUGCAGCAUCCCAAGGACCUUCUGCUGGUCAUUAUAAUUGCAGCCUCAUGGGCCUCUGUGACCUGCAGGGCUGUGACUGGAUACCCAGUAGAGAAGGUGACUGUGAAGCCAAGCCAAGAGGAGCUGCAUGAGUAAUUUCAAAUAGAAAGAUCCAUCUACACUCAGGAUAUAAGAGAACAUCCUGAAGUACAUGGGUGUAACUUUGCAAGAGUGGAGCUGGACGUGCAGAACUACUUGCCUCAAAUACUGGCUCUGAAAGAUUGAAGGUCAUCCCCAAGCAUCUUUCAUAACCAUCAGCUUGUUAGAGCCCAGGUAGAAACACUAAGGUUUCAUUUGCGAGAGGCAGGGGAAGGCAGGAAACAGGGGAUUAAACUUUCAAGCUGCAAAUAAAAUAAACUCUGGCCUCAGUCCUCUGAAGAUCAGGAUGCCCAACCACCUAUUUCCUUCAGAAAGGGUGAAGAGUGGGCCCUCCUCACCCCUAGUGUGGCCAUAAUUGUACUAUGAACCCACCUAUAUCUACCAAGGCAGAAGAUGGGACCGUUCAAGGGAACUUGGCAAUGAUUGCCGCUGCCAUCAGUAAUAUUUACCAUUUCAUGAUUCAGCAUUUCUCUCUGCGUGAUUCUUCUAAAGAGUAUAAAUAAUUCAGACUAAAUUAAAGUUACUAGAAGGAUAUUUUAAGCCUAAAGUUUGAAUUCAUAC
This 1165-nucleotide long non-coding RNA is filed under the name Equus caballus (horse). Its description in RNAcentral is "lncRNA (ENSECAG00000044076.1)". The record is from RNAcentral. Lineage: Eukaryota; Metazoa; Chordata; Mammalia; Perissodactyla; Equidae.